GUUUUUGUAGCUUAUUGCCCAAAGCAUGACACUGAAAAUGUCAAGAUGAGAUCCUUUUCCCCAAAAACA
RNAcentral lists this transfer RNA (69 nucleotides) under Varanus rudicollis (roughneck monitor). Its description in RNAcentral is "tRNA-Phe". It matches the Rfam family "tRNA". Rfam says of the family: Transfer RNA (tRNA) molecules are approximately 80 nucleotides in length. Their secondary structure includes four short double-helical elements and three loops (D, anti-codon, and T loops). Further hydrogen bonds mediate the characteristic L-shaped molecular structure. tRNAs have two regions of fundamental functional importance: the anti-codon, which is responsible for specific mRNA codon recognition, and the 3' end, to which the tRNAs corresponding amino acid is attached (by aminoacyl-tRNA synthetases). tRNAs cope with the degeneracy of the genetic code in two manners: having more than one tRNA (with a specific anti-codon) for a particular amino acid; and 'wobble' base-pairing, i.e. permitting non-standard base-pairing at the 3rd anti-codon position. Lineage: Eukaryota; Metazoa; Chordata; Lepidosauria; Squamata; Varanidae. The record is from RNAcentral.